This 872-nucleotide ribosomal RNA is filed under the name Pestalotiopsis hawaiiensis. RNAcentral's name for it is "LSU rRNA". It matches the Rfam family "Eukaryotic large subunit ribosomal RNA", at positions 68 to 965 of the family's 3401-position model. Lineage: Eukaryota; Fungi; Ascomycota; Sordariomycetes; Amphisphaeriales; Sporocadaceae. The record is from RNAcentral.
ACAGGGAUUGCCUUAGUAACGGCGAGUGAAGCGGCAACAGCUCAAAUUUGAAAUCUGGCCCUCGGGUCCGAAUUGUAAUUUGUAGAGGAUGAUUUUGGUGCGGUAUCUUCCGAGUUCCUUGGAACAGGACGCCUUAGAGGGUGAGAGCCCCGUACGGUUGAAUGCCUAGCCUCUGUAAAUCUCCUUCGACGAGUCGAGUAGUUUGGGAAUGCUGCUCUAAAUGGGAGGUAAAUUUCUUCUAAAGCUAAAUAUUGGCCAGAGACCGAUAGCGCACAAGUAGAGUGAUCGAAAGAUGAAAAGCACUUUGAAAAGAGGGUUAAAUAGCACGUGAAAUUGUUGAAAGGGAAGGAUUUGUGACCAGACUUUUUCUGGGCGGAUCAUCCGGGGUUCUCUCCGGUGCACUUUGCCCAGUAAAGGCCAGCAUCGAUUUUCGGCGGCGGAUAAAAGCAGUGGGAAUGUGGCUCCUUACGGGGAGUGUUAUAGCCCAUUGUAUAAUACGCUGCUGGGGAUCGAGGUACGCGCUUCUGCAAGGAUGCUGGCGUAAUGGUUAUCAAUCACCCGUCUUGAAACACGGACCAAGGAGUCGAACAUUUAUGCGAGUGUUUGGGUGUUAAACCCUCACGCGUAAUGAAAGUGAACGGAGGUGAGAGCCCUUACGGGUGCAUCAUCGACCGAUCCUGAAGUUUUCGGAUGGAUUUGAGUAAGAGCAUAACUGUUCGGACCCGAAAGAUGGUGAACUAUGCGUGGAUAGGGUGAAGCCAGAGGAAACUCUGGUGGAGGCUCGCAGCGGUUCUGACGUGCAAAUCGAUCGUCAAAUCUGCGCAUGGGGGCGAAAGACUAAUCGAACCAUCUAGUAGCUGGUUACCGCCGAA